AGUGAACGCUGGCGGUAGGCCUAACACAUGCAAGUCGAACGGCAGCACAGGAGAGCUUGCUCUCUGGGUGGCGAGUGGCGGACGGGUGAGGAAUACAUCGGAAUCUACUCUGUCGUGGGGGAUAACGUAGGGAAACCUACGCUAAUACCGCAUACGACCUACGGGUGAAAGGAGGGGACCUUCGGGCCUGGCGCGAUUGAAUGAGCCGAGGUCGGAUUAGCUAGUUGGCGGGGUAAAGGCCCACCAAGGCGACGACCCGUAGCUGGUCUGAGAGGAUGAUCAGCCACACUGGAACUGAGACACGGUCCAGACUCCUACGGGAGGCAGCAGUGGGGAAUAUUGGACAAUGGGCGCAAGCCUGAUCCAGCCAUACCGCGUGGGUGAAGAAGGCCUUCGGGUUGUAAAGCCCUUUUGUUGGGAAAGAAAUCCAGCUGGCUAAUACCCGGUUGGGAUGACGGUACCCAAAGAAUAAGCACCGGCUAACUUCGUGCCAGCAGCCGCCGUAA
Molecule: ribosomal RNA, 506 nt
Filed under: uncultured bacterium
Lineage: Bacteria
Description: partial 16S ribosomal RNA
Rfam family: Bacterial small subunit ribosomal RNA
Source: RNAcentral